This 432-nucleotide ribosomal RNA is filed under the name uncultured bacterium. RNAcentral describes it as "partial 16S ribosomal RNA". It matches the Rfam family "Bacterial small subunit ribosomal RNA", at positions 29 to 507 of the family's 1533-position model. The record is from RNAcentral.
AACGAACGCUGGCGGCAUGCCUAACACAUGCAAGUCGAACGAGACCUUCGGGUCUAGUGGCGCACGGGUGCGUAACGCGUGGGAACCUGCCCUUAGGUUCGGAAUAACUCCCCGAAAGGGGUGCUAAUACCGGAUAAUGUCUUCGGACCAAAGAUUUAUCGCCUUUGGAUGGGCCCGCGUUGGAUUAGCUAGUUGGUAGGGUAAAAGCCUACCAAGGCGACGAUCCAUAGCUUGUAUGAGAGGAUGAUCAGCCACACUGGGACUGAGACAAGGCCCAGACUCCUACGGGAGGCAGCAGUGGGGAAUAUUGGACAAUGGGCGAAGCCUGAUCAAGCAAUGCCGCGUGAGUGAUGAAGGCCUUAGGGUUGUAAAGCUCUUUUACCCGGGAUGAUAAUGACAGUACCGGGAGAAUAAGCUCCGGCUAACUCCGUG